GACGAACGCUGGCGGCGUGCUUAACACAUGCAAGUCGAACGAUGACGACCGAGCUUGCUCGGUCUGAUUAGUGGCGAACGGGGGAGUAACACGUGAGCAACCUGCCCUUCACUCUGGGAUAACCUCGGGAAAUCGGGGCUAAUACCGGAUAUGAGCUCCUGUCGCAGGGUGGGUGUGGGAAGGUUUUUCGGUGAAGUAUGGGCUCGCGGCCUAUCAGUUUGUUGGUGGGGUAGUGGCUCACCAAGGCGAUGACGGGUAGCCGGGCUGAGAGGGCGACCGGCCCCGCUGGGACUGAGAUGAGGCCCAGCCUACUCCGGGAGGCAGAAGUGGGGAAUAUUGCACAAUGGGCGAAAGGCUGAUGCAGCGAAGCCGCGUGAGGGAUGUCGGCAAUCGGGUUGUAAACCUAUUUCCGCAGGGAAGAAGCGAAAGUGACGGUACCUGCAGAAGAAGCGCCGGCUAACUACGUG
RNAcentral lists this ribosomal RNA (467 nucleotides) under uncultured bacterium. RNAcentral describes it as "partial 16S ribosomal RNA". It matches the Rfam family "Bacterial small subunit ribosomal RNA", at positions 28 to 507 of the family's 1533-position model. The record is from RNAcentral.